CAGUCGCCGCGGUAAUACGAAGGGGGCUAGCGUUGUUCGGAUUUACUGGGCGUAAAGGGCGCGUAGGCGGACUGAUAAGUCAGGGGUGAAAUCCCAAGGCUCAACCUUGGAACUGCCUUUGAUACUGUUUGUCUUGAGUUCGAGAGAGGUAAGUGGAACUGCGAGUGUAGAGGUGAAAUUCGUAGAUAUUCGCAAGAACACCAGUGGCGAAGGCGGCUUACUGGCUCGAAACUGACGCUGAGGCGCGAAAGCGUGGGGAGCAAACAGGAUUAGAUACCCGCGUAGUCCCUGUCUCUUAUAC
Molecule: ribosomal RNA, 301 nt
Filed under: uncultured bacterium
Lineage: Bacteria
Description: partial 16S ribosomal RNA
Rfam family: Bacterial small subunit ribosomal RNA
Source: RNAcentral